This 413-nucleotide ribosomal RNA is filed under the name uncultured bacterium. Its description in RNAcentral is "bacterial SSU rRNA". It matches the Rfam family "Bacterial small subunit ribosomal RNA", at positions 8 to 448 of the family's 1533-position model. The record is from RNAcentral.
AGAGUUUGAUCCUGGCUCAGAACGAACGCUGGCGGCAGGCUUAACACAUGCAAGUCGAGCGCCCCGCAAGGGGAGCGGCAGACGGGUGAGUAACGCGUGGGAAUCUACCCAUCUCUACGGAAUAACCCAGGGAAACUUGGACUAAUACCGUAUACGCCCUUCGGGGGAAAGAUUUAUCGGAGAUGGAUGAGCCCGCGUUGGAUUAGCUAGUUGGUGGGGUAAAGGCCUACCAAGGCGACGAUCCAUAGCUGGUCUGAGAGGAUGAUCAGCCACAUUGGGACUGAGACACGGCCCAAACUCCUACGGGAGGCAGCAGUGGGAAAGAUAUUGGACAAUGAGCGAAAGCCUGAUCCAGCCCUCUUAGAGGGAGUGAUGAAGGCCCUAGGGUUGUAAAGCUCUUUCAACGGUGAAGA